CACCAGUGGUUUGUUUUGUUUAAACUUUCUUUGAUAAAUGGUUGGUUCUCUUUUGCUUUUUCUUUUCAACUUAUGUUUAGCAAAUUUGAGUAUGACGGUAAGCUUAACCCGACUUUCAAAGAAGGCCCAUUCGAGAGUACAUUCAAGGGCCUGUAACUCAAUGGUCCGUUUCUUUCAUACUCCUUAGAAACCAAACUCAUCACUUAACUCUGAUUUGACGAUUGGGUUACUUACAGCUACAGGUUUGUUCAUGUUGGCUCUGCUGGCGUAAACUGACCAGAUCUAAGCAAACAACCUCCAAGUGUCAAAAGUACGGUUCCGUUUAGCGAACCCUUCACAAGAGAUCCUCAGAAUCAUCCACCAGAGAAAGAUGGAAUCACUGGCAAAGAAGCUGUGGAACAGAGCACUCUGUUUAAAAACAGGUUUCUAUUUUUGUUUCUUGUGUCUGAAAAAAAUCUUUUGAGGGUGACAACAAAACAAAAAUUCGUACAUUGUAGAUCCAGAUUAUAUACAAAGCGUAUUCAACGACAACAAUAAAAAUUAUACCAUUUGAUCCGUGGAGGUUCUAGAAAACUGUCGAGCUUCUCUGCCAUUUCUUUGCCUGUAAGAAUUGUGCCUUGUGGUGUAAGAAAAGCGGUGCGUUGAAAAGGUGGAGACCAGAUUCCACUUUUCUGGUAAUCGAACUGAAACUCAGAGACGUCAAUGUACUUGUCAAGAAGCAUGUCUGAAACUGGUUUUGAUACCUUCUGAGUUAAAACAGAGGAAGAUGAAGAUGCAGAAUCAGACAUUGUCAGUUUAUAAAAUUAAGACAGAACAGAAAGUUUUUGAUUGGAGGGUUCCAGAUUCAUUAGGAAAGGUUUGAUGGAGACUUUUGUGGUAAUGACAAAGUAAUGGAUUUUCAGCAAAUAAUGGAGGAUGAGUGGGAAGGUGCACAGAACAUUUGUCUGUUUAUUUUUCUCUCUUUUUUUUUGUUUCUUUGCUAAUAGAAAAGAUGCGUUGAUUUUGGGCACAGAGUACAAAUCAUUGAGUGCUGUUUCUUUCCCAAGGAAUCA
Molecule: long non-coding RNA, 1052 nt
Organism: Raphanus sativus (radish)
Lineage: Eukaryota; Viridiplantae; Streptophyta; Magnoliopsida; Brassicales; Brassicaceae
Exons: 2
Source: RefSeq, a predicted model, not a curated record